GAAAAGUGCAGAGUGGCGCUGGAGCUACGGCACAGGCAGAGUAUUGGAAUGGACUUUAAAAAUGCAUGCUGUUUCAGCAGAGAAGGGCGAGGGUAGUUUAUAAAGAGCUCUGAAGAAAAGAAACCUGGACAGUCAGCCCAUUGACGGGGAUUAGGAAGCCUUGGCUGUAUGGGUGUUGCUCACUCAGUCAUGGUGACUGGAUUCCUGCUGCAAAGUUUGCAGAAAAAAAGUCUAGCAUUCCAGGGCAACAGGACUACUCAGGGAAACUGCUGAAGCUUCAGUGUACCACACUGGAGCAUCAAGAAGAGUGCAACUAGGAUGAAGAAUGGGGAGAAAAUGAAUAACGAUGAACUGCCACCAAAGCAGUGCCUUUGGAUUAAAUAGAGAAAACAGCAAUUGCUUAUUAGGAUGGCUCAUCAGAAGGGGGUCUGGUCAGAGGGUCAAGCCCUGGAAAACCGCAUAAUGAUAAACAAAGUGGUUUUAUUAGUCUACCAGGAAAUUCUCCCACAAAAAGAAGACUUACAGCUGAGAAUACAGCUAUAGUUGGAAUAAGUGGGAAACAAACAGAAGAAAAAGUGACAUCAGAAAGAGUUGGCAUGGGACUAAGAAAUGUGAGACAACACACUAUUAUAACAGGUAAGGAAGAAAAAAUAGUUGUAGGCCUAGGCAGAUAAACAAGUUAAAAGUCAAAGGGUGUGCUAUAAGUAUCAGAAGAGCACAGGAGACAACGUUUCAUCCGUCAAAUUGUGAAGCAUUUAGAAUAAAAAAGAGUGUAUUUAACUAACAGGUUUCAUAGUGCAAAGGUUG
RNAcentral lists this long non-coding RNA (807 nucleotides) under Lepisosteus oculatus (spotted gar). RNAcentral's name for it is "lncRNA (ENSLOCG00000021221.1)". The record is from RNAcentral. Lineage: Eukaryota; Metazoa; Chordata; Actinopteri; Semionotiformes; Lepisosteidae.